UACGGGAGGCAGCAGUGGGGAAUAUUGCACAAUGGGCGCAAGCCUGAUGCAGCCAUGCCGCGUGUAUGAAAAAGGCCUUCGGGUUGUAAAGUACUUUCAGUCGUGAGGAAGGUGUUAAGGUUAAUAACCUUAGCAAUUGACGUUAGCGACAGAAGAAGCACCGGCUAACUCCGUGCCAGCAGCCGCGGUAAUACGGAGGGUGCGAGCGUUAAUCGGAAUUACUGGGCGUAAAGGGCACGCAGGCGGUUAAUUAGUUGGAUGUGAAAUCCCCGGGCUUAACCUGGGAAUGGCAUUCAAGACUGGUUAGCUAGAGUCUUGUAGAGGGGGUAGAAAUUCCAUGUGUAGCGGUGAAAUGCGUAGAGAUGUGGAGGAAUACCGGUGGCGAAGGCGGGCCCCUGGACAAAAGGACUGACGCUCAUGUGCGAAAAGGCGUGGGGGAGCAAAACAGGGAUUAAGAUAACC
Molecule: ribosomal RNA, 462 nt
Filed under: uncultured bacterium
Lineage: Bacteria
Description: bacterial SSU rRNA
Rfam family: Bacterial small subunit ribosomal RNA
Source: RNAcentral